Molecule: ribosomal RNA, 253 nt
Filed under: uncultured bacterium
Lineage: Bacteria
Description: partial 16S ribosomal RNA
Rfam family: Bacterial small subunit ribosomal RNA
Source: RNAcentral
UACGGAGGGGGCUAGCGUUGUUCGGAAUUACUGGGCGUAAAGGGCGCGUAGGCGGCCUGUUAAGUCGAACGUGAAAUCCCCGGGCUCAACCCGGGAACUGCGUCCGAUACUGGCAGGCUUGAAUCCGGGAGAGGGAUGCGGAAUUCCAGGUGUAGCGGUGAAAUGCGUAGAUAUCUGGAGGAACACCGGUGGCGAAGGCGGCAUCCUGGACCGGCAUUGACGCUGAGGCGCGAAAGCCAGGGGAGCAAACGGG